CCUGUCAAAAACACCACAGGGACAUCAGAGAGUGAGUUAAUGUCAGUUAGCUUCGACAGUAGCUAACAUGCUCGGGUCAAAGUCGGCUAGCUCGCUGUUUGCUAGCUUACUUCAGGGAAAUGCUAGUUUUAUUUUUAGUUGUAAGCGCAAUGGCGGCGGCGGAACGCGUUGUAUCAAACUCUGAGGGAGAAAUUUACAGGGUUUAUUUAAUUAAUUAUUAUAAAAGUCUACAGAACUAGAACCAAACAACAACAACAACAACAACAACAUCAUCUCACCUGAGAAAAGAACCGCGCGUUUUGGGAUUUGACGCGUCACCGCAGGAAACAACACGGAUCCGUCUAUCCGUGAACUCCUCGAGCUCGAGAGCUGAAGAGAAGAGAAGUUCAACCACAGCUUUUAAAAGAAACUUCCCAGUGAAGAAGGAAGGAGUGGCCUGUCCUCAGUUAAACUCAUGGAGGCCAGGUGGAGAGCAGGACACAGAGGAGAGAGGAGCUCGGUCCGUCACAGAGAAGAUGGAGAGAGAGAACCUGCUCCGGGCUCAGGCAACGAGCAGUCCGGU
This is a long non-coding RNA of Hippoglossus stenolepis (Pacific halibut), 562 nucleotides long. RefSeq lists it as uncharacterized. The transcript is spliced from 3 exons. NCBI's taxonomy places the organism in Eukaryota, Metazoa, Chordata, Actinopteri, Pleuronectiformes, Pleuronectidae. The record is from RefSeq and is a predicted model, not a curated record.